Molecule: ribosomal RNA, 253 nt
Filed under: uncultured bacterium
Lineage: Bacteria
Description: partial 16S ribosomal RNA
Rfam family: Bacterial small subunit ribosomal RNA
Source: RNAcentral
UACAGAGGGUGCGAGCGUUGUCCGGAAUCACUGGGCGUAAAGGGCGCGUAGGUGGUGACCUAAGCGUGCGGUGAAAGCCCGAGGCUCAACCUCGGGUCGGCCGUGCGAACUGGGUCACUGGAGCAGAAUAGAGGCAGGUGGAAUUCCGGGUGUAGCGGUGGAAUGCGUAGAGAUCCGGAAGAACACCGGUGGCGAAAGCGUUCUGCUAGACCUGUACUGACACUGAGGGACGAAAGCUAGGGGAGCGAAUGGG